RNAcentral lists this ribosomal RNA (62 nucleotides) under Leucophleps spinispora. Its description in RNAcentral is "partial 28S ribosomal RNA". It matches the Rfam family "Eukaryotic large subunit ribosomal RNA", at positions 1 to 58 of the family's 3401-position model. The record is from RNAcentral. Lineage: Eukaryota; Fungi; Basidiomycota; Agaricomycetes; Boletales; Leucogastraceae.
CCUUUGAUCUCAAAUCAGGCGGGACUACCCGCUGAACUUAAGCAUAUCAAUAAGCGGAGGAA